UCCUAGUCACAUUCUUUAGAAUAUCCUCCAAUUUGCAAAUGCUCCCAGAUAAAUAUACUGAGUAUUGCAGAAUUUACACAGUGGGCAAAAAAAAAAAAUGUUGGUAGGUUUCCACCCCCCAAACAAUUCCAAACACUCAGGUUUUAAAAAAUGGAGCUAUCUCUAUUUGAGAGUGAAUUUCUAUGAAAAUAAAUUUCUGGCAUUUCCCUUAGACAUACAAUCUUUUAGUCAUUUUAAGCCAUAUGGCAUAUAAACUUUCACUGUUUAUCCUGUUAGUAAUUAGAGUAGCACAUUUUGAAAUUGAAGACAAACUAGAGAUAAAGUAAGAUUUUUUUCCCCAAAGACCUGGAAAUGAAAUAAUGUGUUUUACACUUUUUCAGGAAAAGAAAAGUGAUAUUUCUUCAAGUGGCAGUGCAUGAAGCAAGAGCCAUGAAAAAAAAAUUAAGAAACGCCCAAGUCAGCUUCUGGAACCUGCAAGGAACCACCCUUCUGUGAUCCUUACCUGUGGCUGUGCACAGGUGGUGCUUUGUGAUGCCAAACACCCCAGGGCUACCAUUGGCUGGAGGAAUUUCCUGCUGACCAAUCAAAGCUAAAGGGCGUGGCUCCCCAUUGUCCCUGGAGGGUAUAUAAAGGGCUCAGGGGCCCUGGAGAGGGCCAGUGUUGCUACAGCAUGGCGGAGGUUAUUGAGGCAGUGCUGGGGUCUAAUUCAGAUGCUGAAAACAAAACCGAAACCACAGAUGUAAAGGAAGUUCCAGAAAUCAAAGAGAGGAAGACCCCUUGUCAAUCAAAGGACAAAGAACGUGAGAAGGUGCGGAAGAUACUUGCAAAAGUUAAAUCGGCCCUUCAGGACAACGUAGAAAAGCGUAAGAAAGGAAGGAAAUCGACCAUACUGGUCUGUUACCGCAGACACAGCAAAAUGAAGACUGAAAAUCAGCUGAAGAUGAAGACGGAGGAAGAAAGCCUGUCCCCACUCUGGGCAACACCCUAUGCCUGCCAGGGGCCAAAGAUCUCAAAGUAGCUGGUACCUCCCCAGAAAAAGCACUGGCGAGACGGAUGCUUAGGUAGAGAUCAAAAUUUUCACGGUGGUCACCUGUGAGGAGACCAAAUGAAGUGCACGGAUAUUGAUUAAAACAACAAGUUGCAAAUGGAGAUGUGUGUAUGUGUCUUUGUGUUCUCUGAUGGUGAGAGGGGAAAGGAAAGGGGCAAGUGUAUGAAAAGGGAGG
Molecule: long non-coding RNA, 1223 nt
Filed under: Vulpes vulpes (red fox)
Lineage: Eukaryota; Metazoa; Chordata; Mammalia; Carnivora; Canidae
Description: lncRNA (ENSVVUG00000000178.1)
Source: RNAcentral